This 253-nucleotide ribosomal RNA is filed under the name uncultured bacterium. RNAcentral's name for it is "partial 16S ribosomal RNA". It matches the Rfam family "Bacterial small subunit ribosomal RNA", at positions 524 to 776 of the family's 1533-position model. The record is from RNAcentral.
UACAGAGACUGCGAGCGUUAUUCGGAUUCACUGGGCGUAAAGGGUGCGCAGGCGGCCAAGUGUGUGAGGCGUGAAAGCCCGGGGCUUAACCCCGGAAUUGCACCUCAAACUACAUGGCUAGAGCAUUGGAGAGGGUAGCAGAAUUCACGGUGUAGCAGUGAAAUGCGUAGAUAUCGUGAGGAAUACCAGAGGCGAAGGCGGCUACCUGGACAAUUGCUGACGCUCAGGCACGAAAGCGUGGGGAGCAAAAGGG